CGUUGGUACUCCUGGUUCUCAGGGAUUCAGACUCUGACUGGCGUCCACUCCAUUGGAUCCCGGCCCUCAGGUCUUGGAACUUGCACUGCCAGCAUUCCUGGGUGUCCGGCUUGCGGACAGCAGAUCGUGGGACUUCUCAGCCUCCAGAAUUGCACGAAGUGUCUCCUUACGAAUCUCUUCCUAUGUACGUGUAUCCUAUUGGCUCUGUUUCUCUGCAGAACCCUGACUAAUGCAAACCCUCUCAUCUCACAGCAGUGCAUGUACAAACCCACUCACAUCUUCCCCUCCCCUGCCUUCCCUACCGCAAGUUCCCUCCGACCAGAGGCCAAUCCCGCUGCGGUGCCCCGGACCCACCCUCUGCACCAGCCUUCCUUCUUGUUUUCUAAAAGCUCGCGUUUUCUGUGGGCUUCCAAGGCUGCUCUUCAGUAUCUUUACGUCAGAGCCUCCCAGCUCCUUCCCCUCUCUCAAAAGCGUUUUCACAGGGACUGUAGGCUCCUUCCCUCCCCUUGAUAACCAAGUACUAUGCCCCAGGUUCUUACCUCACAGCCCAAAGUUGUCCUAAGUCGGGCCCUGACCUGAGUGUCUCCAAAUCCAGCAGGCCGUCUGCUCUCCUGUGACAUGCAGCAUCCCACGGCUUUUCCUAAAAGACCCCCUCUGUCAGCUUUGCUGUCACCCACCCUCCAGGGCUCUCUCUUACAGGUCUGCCCUUUGCUAGCAUCUUAGCCUCUCCACCUCCCGGUGGUCCUGUCUGCGAUGGACCCCCUCCAUGUGUCCCAAGGCCCUCCAAAGGAACAGGUCUGUAUCAGGUGCAAUUAGAUUGAGGUGCAAUGCAAGGGCUUGAAUUGCAGAGAGGUUCAUUUUUCUUUUUGUAGAAAAGUCUGGGACCAGCUGUCAGAGACUGAUUUGGCCACUCCAUGGUCACCAGGACCAGGCUGUGUCCAUCUUUUCUGUUCUGACCUUUUUCACAUGGGCCAUUGUCCAUGUCACCGCUGGUCACCAGCUGCAGCAGUCGCAUUCUUGCUCCGGGCAGCAGGAAGAAGGUGAGACCAGAAGGCAGAGGGGGCUGGUCCUGCCUGGUCAGCCCCCAGGGGGCUUUGCCCAGACACCCCUUCCCCACCCAUGGCUCUGCUGAUUUCUCUAUAGCUGCCACCCUCUGAAAAGGGAGCUGGCAGAGUAGUUCUUAGACAUGGCACCUGGCCACCUCUGUGGCUGAAGAAGAAGGGGGUUGAGGAUUGGGGUACACACCUGUCAGUCUCCAUGCAAUGCCCCAAAGUGGACCACUGACCCCACACCACGCUGUUCUCCUCUGAGUUUUCUCACCUCUGUCCAAAUGGCUGCAGAAGCCAAAAGCCCCAGAGCCCAGCUCCCCUUCCCUCCUUUCUCUUCCAUCCUUCCAUCCUUCCAUGAGCCUGCCCCUCAUCCUCCUCAGGGCUGGAACUGGCUGCCGGAUUCCUCCCUGGCUCCGUGGGGGCUGGCUCAGCAAUCUGAGCUGCCGAUGGCUCUGUGGUCCAGCUGGGAGGAUUCAUGCCCCAUUGGGGCUGAGAGGAAUGAGGUGAGGGCUGUGGGGUUUGCCCAGAAUCUCCUGAAAUAUCGGGCCCAGGAACUACAGCAGGACUCUCAUUCCGCCUUCUGGCCACUGUUGGGGGUGACACUGGCAGGAUCCAGGGGCUCUGGAAAGCUCCAGGGGAAAUUUGAGGCAUAACCCAGCUUCUCUGAGACGGAACUCAGGGAGGAUCCAGCUCAAUCCUACAGAGGCGACCCCAAGGAAGGACCUGCCCAGGGUCACUUGGAGAGCUGGGCGGGAGGAGGGAGAAACCUCCCCCGUUCAGAGUGACAAAGCCCCCCUUGCCUCAGGGAUGGCUGAGAUCCAAGUCCUCAAAACACGCCGCCAUCUGGAGGGUGUGAGAGCGAGGUCCGUCCUCAGCAUGGACGCUGCAGUGCACACUGUUCCGUGCCAGGUGCUGGCUGACCCUGCCCUGUGGGAGGUGAUGGACAGGCACACAGGGGGAGCCCCGCAAACAAGGGGCCCUGUUACAGCAGAGUGGGAGAGCGCCUGGUAGGACGCCAAGCACCGUGGCCGGGCUGCAGAGAGGCCUGCGGGACUUGUAGACAAGACGUCAUGGAGAAGGCGGAGCUCCCAUGGGCCUUGCAGGUUUCACCAAGCAAGAGCGGAGAAGACACAGGCUGGACAAAGGAAGGUGGACGGGACAGCCAGCCGUGCAGCAGCCUCACAGGACACAGCGACCAGACAGAGAGCACCAGCUGACACUCAUUCCUCCAGCACCAGGAAAUGCCACAGCAGAAGAGAGUCUUCAAGAUGGGCCAGACCCACUUCUGCAGCAUGGUUGCUGGGAGCCUGCACAGGCCAGGCAUUUCUCUACAGGUGCAAUUGAGAACUCACUGAGGCAAAAGGGCCUUUGUCAACCCACAGAAGUGACAAGUCCAAGUGCAGACCAGGCUUCAGGUCCAGUUGCUCUUCAGAACUCAAAAUCCCAUCUCUGCAGGUCUCAGCCAAUCCUGCUCCCGCCUGUUUUUAUUUCCUGCCCAGAGCAAGUACAGAACCGAGGGCCAUCGAUGGGCGAGAAAUCACUGUGCCUCCAAGCUGUAUUUUUCACCGUAACAAGUCAUUACUUCUGUGCCCGGAGUCAUUUCUCAGGAUCUUAAUGCAUUCGUUUAUCAAUCAAUACUUAACUGAUGUCUAUAAAGCAUGUUCAAAAUCAGAGGUGAGAGCAGCUCACCAGGUACCGACUUCGUGUCUGGAGCCACCUUGUUAAGGAGCAACCCUUGGCACGGGUCCCGUGUCUGCACCCUCGGGAGCUCUGGGUGGGUGCACUGGGGUCCUCACAGCCCUUCCCACCACCGCAGAUGGAAAUCUCUACCUGGCAGAGGGGCUCAGUCGUCCCCACCUGGGAGUCUGGGGCCUACCGGCAGCAGAAGGUGCAGUGGCCAAACACAGAGACAUUUCUAUCAUCAGACCUGGUCCCCAGCCUGACUCUGCUGCCCACUUACCCCUGGCCAGGGCGAGUUCAUCGACUGUGCCGAGCCUGGCUGCUUCUCCAGCCUAACAGGAGUCCCCGUCUCGACAGGACUGAGUGGGGUGAAUGCAGCCAAGUGCUCAGCAGAGACUGUCCCACCGGGAAGUGUUCACAAAUAUGGGCUGUUGAACCUGCUGUUGUUAGAUCUAGAUCCAGUUCUGCGACCACGUUCAUGACUUAGAUCAUAACUGAAGUGCGGGCCAGCCGAGGCCGGGCCGUUUAGGGGUUUGGCUGCUAAUUCAAGAAGGACACCUGGGUUUGGAUCCCAGAGUUCCCUCCAGACCCAGAUGUGGCCUCAGGCAGGUGAUGAGCCUGGAGAUGCGGUUUCAUUUUCUGCAGGGUGGUCAAAGGAGAUCUCAGGCUUGUAGGAGACAAAGCACAUCGCCCCGAACUGCUCAGGAGGCGCAGAUUACAGCCACCCUCCUUAUCCACCCCGUCUCCCAUCACAGCCCUCAUGAGUGCUCAAGCAAGGCUCAGGGCCUGAUGGACGUGGCUGCCUCCUCCUAGAGGACAGGCAUGUCUCGGCUGCCUGCACCAGCCAGCGGCCCUUCUCCCCGGCCAGGAGAUCCUCCAAGGAAGGCCAAGGGCCAAGCAGCUGCUGGAGCAGAUGACCACAAACUCAGUGACUGCAGAGUGCACGCGCUCAUCACCUUACAGUUGUGUAGGCUGGGAUCCCACUGGGCUAAGACCAAGGUGUUGGGAGGCUGCGUUUCUUGCUGGAUGCUGUAAGGGAGAAGUCGUUUCCUCGUGUUUUUUUAACUUCCUUGGCCCACGGACCUUCCUCCACCUUCAAAGCCAGCAGCCUCGCGUCUUCUGACCUUCCAUUGUCACAUCGUCAUCUGACCCACGUAAGGACCCGUGUGAUUAGGGUGGGCGCACCCGGGUAAUCUUCCCAUCUCAAAGUCCUUGACUGAAUCACAUCUGCAAAGUCCCCUUUGCUACGUAAGGUCACAUGUUCACAAGAUCCAGGGAUUAGGACUUGGACAUUUUUGGAAGCCCAUUGUCCUGCCAACAGCACAAGACCUCCAGGUGAUCCUGAUGUGUAACGCACAGUGAGAGACAAAUGCUCUGAUGGACCAUCAACAGCAGAAGAGACAUAAAUGGAAGAAAAUGUACAUAAAAGAGAGUCCACUUAAACAUGUGAUCCUCUCAAAGGAAGAAAAGAACAGGGCUCACUCAUCCACAUCAACCCGUCUUCAGGUGAUGUUUCAAAGGAGGCGUGUUCGUAAUGUCCUCCCGCGACGAGGGACCUGGCCAAGAGAAACUACGCAGGAGGCCCAGAAGGCAGAGCCUGCUCCAGGUCGGCCUCACUGCUGU
RNAcentral lists this long non-coding RNA (4352 nucleotides) under Homo sapiens (human). RNAcentral's name for it is "long non-coding RNA NONHSAT193004.1". Lineage: Eukaryota; Metazoa; Chordata; Mammalia; Primates; Hominidae. The record is from RNAcentral.